GCAGGUAAAGUUUUUUGAAUAUCAAGUUGCAAAUUUUGAUGGUAAAGCUUGCU
Molecule: transfer RNA, 53 nt
Filed under: Unionicola parkeri
Lineage: Eukaryota; Metazoa; Arthropoda; Arachnida; Trombidiformes; Unionicolidae
Description: tRNA-Cys
Source: RNAcentral